UUUCCUACGGGAGGCAGCAGUAAGGGAUAUUGGUCAAUGGGGGAAACCCUGAACCAGCAACGCCGCGUGAGGGAAGACGGUUUUCGGAUUGUAAACCUCUGUCCUCUGUGAAGAUGAUGACGGUAGCAGAGGAGGAAGCUCCGGCUAACUACGUGCCAGCAGCCGCGGUAAUACGUAGGGAGCGAGCGUUAAUCGGAAUUACUGGGCGUAAAGCGCUCGUAGGCGGUAUGUCAAGUCAAGGGUGAAAUCCCCGCGCUCAACGUGGGAACUGCCUUUGAAACUGGCAAACUGGAGUGUGUGAGAGG
This 305-nucleotide ribosomal RNA is filed under the name uncultured bacterium. Its description in RNAcentral is "bacterial SSU rRNA". It matches the Rfam family "Bacterial small subunit ribosomal RNA", at positions 335 to 657 of the family's 1533-position model. The record is from RNAcentral.